This 371-nucleotide ribosomal RNA is filed under the name uncultured bacterium. RNAcentral's name for it is "bacterial SSU rRNA". It matches the Rfam family "Bacterial small subunit ribosomal RNA", at positions 527 to 896 of the family's 1533-position model. The record is from RNAcentral.
AGAGGGGGCAAGCGUUGUUCGGAAUUACUGGGCGUAAAGGGCGCGUAGGCGGCCUGUUAAGUCGAACGUGAAAUCCCCGGGCUCAACCCGGGAACUGCGUCCGAUACUGGCAGGCUUGAAUCCGGGAGAGGGAUGUGGAAUUCCAGGUGUAGCGGUGAAAUGCGUAGAUAUCUGGAGGAACACCGGUGGCGAAGGCGGCAUCCUGGACCGGUACUGACGCUGAGGCGCGAAAGCCAGGGGAGCAAACGGGAUUAGAUACCCCGGUAGUCCUGGCCCUAAACGAUGAAUGCUUGGUGUGGCGGGUAUCGAUCCCUGCCGUGCCGAAGCUAACGCAUUAAGCAUUCCGCCUGGGGAGUACGGUCGCAAGGCUG